Molecule: ribosomal RNA, 285 nt
Filed under: uncultured archaeon SYA_2000_52
Lineage: Archaea
Description: partial 16S ribosomal RNA
Rfam family: Archaeal small subunit ribosomal RNA
Source: RNAcentral
GUAGCCGUCCGCAUAAGUCUCUUGGGAAAUCUGGCAUGUUAACUGUCAGGCUUUCAGGAGAUACUGUCUGGCUCGAGCCGGGAGAGGUGAGAGGUACUUCGAGGGGUAGGGGUGAAAUCUUGUAAUCCUUGAAGGACCACCAGUGGCUAAGGCGUCUCACCAGUACGGACCUGACGGCAAGGGACGAAAGCUAGGGGCACGAACCGGGUUAGAUACCCGGGUAGUCCUAGCCGUAAACGAUACUCGCUAGGUGUCGGCCACGGUGCGACCGUUGUCGGUGCCGUA